Molecule: non-coding RNA, 31 nt
Filed under: Homo sapiens (human)
Lineage: Eukaryota; Metazoa; Chordata; Mammalia; Primates; Hominidae
Source: RNAcentral
CUGAAUGGCUUUCAGCUAGCACAUGGCUGUU